Molecule: ribosomal RNA, 253 nt
Filed under: uncultured bacterium
Lineage: Bacteria
Description: partial 16S ribosomal RNA
Rfam family: Bacterial small subunit ribosomal RNA
Source: RNAcentral
UACGUAGGGGGCAAGCGUUGUCCGGAAUCAUUGGGCGUAAAGCGCGUGUAGGCGGCCCGGUAAGUCCGCUGUGAAAGUCGGGGGCUCAACCCUCGGAUGCCGGUGGAUACUGUCGGGCUUGAGUACGGAAGAGGCGAGUGGAAUUCCUGGUGUAGCGGUGAAAUGCGCAGAUAUCAGGAGGAACACCGAUUGCGAAGGCGGCUCUCUGGGACGGUACUGACGCUGAGACGCGAAAGCGUGGGGAGCGAACAGG